CCCUAGCCCUGAUUGCAGUGAAAAUCCUUUUUAUUUAUUGUUCACAAAAACAAAAAAUAAAAAGAUUGUAACGGAAAGCAGGAAAUAGC
Molecule: small RNA, 89 nt
Filed under: Flavobacterium urocaniciphilum
Lineage: Bacteria; Pseudomonadati; Bacteroidota; Flavobacteriia; Flavobacteriales; Flavobacteriaceae
Description: Flavo-1 RNA
Rfam family: Flavo-1 RNA
Source: Rfam by way of RNAcentral